GGAAAAAACCCUGAUGAAAAUAAAAAUGGAAGAAGAUUUCUGUUCGCUUAAAUUGUAUCCAUGUAGAAAUAAUCCCUCACACGGGGAGACACAUCUGAACUGACCUCUGGAGUGGAGAAUUAUGUCACAUAAUAAAUAACCACAGUGAGUAACGGCAGGCACGAGGUUCACGGAGAUUUUUCCAGGAAUGCCGCAGGCAGAAUUCCUACAGGUUAUAUUCAAAUUCAUGUUACUGUAUUCCUACCGGCAGAAAGGGUUAACAUGAAUUUAAAAAAACCUUUUUUCACAGUAUAUAUUAGUAGAUUGCCAAACCGGUUGGUCUUGGUUUCAGCAGCGUGACCGCUUCCUGUUCUGAGGCUUGUUGCCAGGCAGCUGCUUGCCCGCAGAUACUAAGCGCUGCAACUCACAGAACGACAGCCACACCUCGCAAGUCAAUAUUCACCUGACUAACCAAAUGAAGCAAAGAGGAAACAAAUGUAAAACACAUCCGUGCGCAGUCAAGACAUCCUUGUGGAAUUAAGAACCACAGAAUUUUGGAUCGCUUGUCAUCAUCAUGGCUGCAGAUGCUGAUUGGGGAGGGGGCGCAGUGACAUCUACAUCAAGUCAACAGAAAGAGCUACAAAGUUUGUGAUCGUCUGUCGACAUCAUGGCUGAAGGUGGUACCUGGGGAGGUGAUUCAGGGACCUCUACAUCAAAGAAACAAAAAGGUUUGUGAGCCUUCUGUGACAUAUAUAUGAUGCCCUGACAGCGCGUGUGUACCUGAUGCAAGAAAUGAGGUUCACACAGAAGUUGGAAUAGGGAAGGGGGUGAGCCCCGAGAAUACCAUACACCACAACAGGUGGGUUGAUGCAGGAAUUGUCUGAUAAAUCAGCACUUUCUUUGGGAACAAAUGAUUUGACUUGCUGCGAACGUUAUCAGAGUCCAAAAUCAGAUCCUGCACAGAAAUGUGUCUUUGCACUGCCUGCCACCUGUCAUUUUCGCUACACUAAUCCCAUUUCUGAGCACUGGUCUGUCGCCUACUACCAUAUAACCAUAUAACCAUAUAACAAUUACAGCACGGAAACAGGCCAUCUCGACCCUUCUAGUCCGUGCCGAACACAUAAUCUCCCCUAUUCCCAUAUACCUGCGCUCAGACCAUAACCCUCCAUUCCCUUCCCAUCCAUAUAACUAUCCAAUUUAUUUUUAAAUGAUAAAAACGAACCUGACUCCACCACCUUCACUGGAAGCUCAUUCCACACAGCUACCACUCUCUGAGUAAAGAAGUUCCCCCUCAUGUUACCCCUAAACUUCAGUCCCUUAAUUAAUUCUCAAGUCCUACUAUUCAUUUACUGUUCGAAUGGACAUCCAGGUGCUCCUACAAUGUUGUGACAGAGUACCUGCCUCCAACACCACCCCAGACAGUGUGUCCCUGACUGCAGCCAUCACUGCUGAAAGAUUCUUCCUGAAAGAUCAUCCUCUAAACCUCAUGGUUCCCGCAUUAAGUCUAUCCCCCCUGGUGUUAACCACAUCUACUGUGGAGGAAAAUAUUUUUUCCGUCGACGCUACUUCUCAUAGUCUUCUGCACCUCUAUCAAAUCACUGCCUGUCCGCCCCAGCUUAUAACCAUAUAACCAUAUAACAAUUACAGCACGGAAACAGGCCAUCUCGGCCCUACAAGUCCAUGCCGAACAAAUUUUUUCCCCUUUGUCCCACCUGCCUGCAUUCGUACCAUAACCCUCCAUUCCCUUCUCAUCCAUAUGCCUAUCCAAUUUAUUUUUAAAUGAUACUAAUGAACCUGCCUCCACCACUUCCACUGGGAGCUCAUUCCACACCGCCACCACUCUCUGCGUAAAGAAGUUCCCCCUCAUAUUACCCCUAAACUUCUGUCCCUUAAUUCUGAAGUCAUGUCCUCUUGUUUGAAUCUUCCCUAUUCUCAAAGGGAAAAGCUUGUCCACAUCAACUCUGUCUAUCCCUCUCAUCAUUUUAAAGACCUCUAUCAGGUCCCCCCUUAACCUUCUGCGCUCCAGAGAAUAAAGACCUAACAUUCAACCUAUCUCUGUAACUUAGUUGUUGAAACCCAGGCAACAUUCUAGUAAAUCUCCUCUGUACUCUCUCUAUUUUGUUGACAUCCUUCCUAUAAUUGGGCGACCAAAAUUGUACACCAUACUCCAGAUUUGGUCUCACCAAUGCCUUGUACAAUUUUAACAUUACAUCCCAGCUUCUAUACUCAAUGCUCUGAUUUAUAAAGGCUAGCAUACCAAAAGCUUUCUUUACCACCCUAUCUAUAUGAGAUUCCACCUUCAAGGAACUAUGCACGGUUAUACCCAGAUCCCUCUGUUCAACUGUAUUCUUCAAUUCCCUACCAUUUACCAUGUACGUCCUAUUUUGAUUUGUCCUGCCAAGGUGUAGCACCUCACAUUUAUCAGCAUUAAACUCCAUCUGCCAUCUUUCAGCCCAUUUUUCCAAAUUUUUCCAAUUCAAGGAAGACGACUUAAAUCACUCCAGUCUCUGCUGAUAAUUGAAAUAUUCAUUUACGAGCAAUAUCCUGAUGAAUCGCUGCACCUUCUCCAGUACAAAGGCAUCCUUCCCACAGUAUG
This is a long non-coding RNA of Leucoraja erinaceus (little skate), 2575 nucleotides long. RefSeq lists it as uncharacterized. The transcript has 3 exons. NCBI's taxonomy places the organism in Eukaryota, Metazoa, Chordata, Chondrichthyes, Rajiformes, Rajidae. The record is from RefSeq and is a predicted model, not a curated record.